AGAGUUUGAUCCUGGCUCAGAACGAACGCUGGCGGCAGGCUUAACACAUGCAAGUCGAACGCCCCGCAAGGGGAGUGGCGCACGGGUGAGUAAUACUUGGGAACGUGCCUUUCAGUCUGGGAUAACAGCGGGAAACUGCUGCUAAUACCGGAUAUUCUCUUCGGAGGAAAGAUUUAUCGCUGAAAGAUCGGCCCAAGCCAGAUUAUGGUAGUUGGUGGGGUAAAAGCCUACCAAGCCUACGAUCUGUAGCUGGUCUGAGAGGACGACCAGCCACACUGGAACUGAGACACGGUCCAGACUCCUACGGGAGGCAGCAGUGGGGAAUAUUGGACAAUGGGGGAAACCCUGAUCCAGCCAUGCCGCGUGAGUGAUGAAGGCCUUAGGGUUGUAAAGCUCUUUUGUCAGGGAAGAUGAUGACGGUACCUGAAGAAUAAGCACCGGCUAACUUCGUGCCAGCAGCCGCGGUAAUACGAAGGGUGCUAGCGUUGUUCGGAAUUACUGGGCGUAAAGCGCGCGUAGGCGGCUAUUCAAGUCAGGGGUGAAAUCCUUGGGCUCAACCCAAGAAUUGCCUUUGAAACUGUAUAGCUAGAGUGUCGGAGGGGAUAGCGGAAUUGCUAAUGUAGAGGUGAAAUUCGUAGAUAUUAGCAGGAACACCGGUGGCGAAGGCGGCUAUCUGGACGACAACUGCGCUGAGGCGCGAAAGCGUGGGGAUCAAACAGGAUUAGAUACCCUAGUAGUCC
This 740-nucleotide ribosomal RNA is filed under the name uncultured bacterium. RNAcentral's name for it is "bacterial SSU rRNA". It matches the Rfam family "Bacterial small subunit ribosomal RNA", at positions 8 to 796 of the family's 1533-position model. The record is from RNAcentral.